Triplophysa dalaica is the source of this 4209-nucleotide long non-coding RNA. RefSeq lists it as uncharacterized. Lineage: Eukaryota; Metazoa; Chordata; Actinopteri; Cypriniformes; Nemacheilidae. The transcript is spliced from 6 exons. The record is from RefSeq and is a predicted model, not a curated record.
CCAAUCACAGGCCUCGGAUCCUUCAACACAUGUUGUCAAAGAAGAGCUCUAGCAUCUUAUUUAUGUCUUUAUUUUAUUAUUAUUUACAACUUUGUGGUUAAGCAUCUUUGAUGGGCAUAACAUUAAGAGGAUUUCAUGCGAAAGUAAGAAAAAGUGCACCUUGAUAUGGCGAGGCCAGUCAUCCGUCUUCAAAACCCCACUGCUCCAGAGGGUCGUCAGCAGGCCUUAUUGGUGGCGACAAAUGGGGCCCGUGACUGCAGAAACAGGAGAAUGAGUUUUCCUCUUCCCCCUCCUCAGCUGCUCUGUGAUUCCACUGCACUGGCCCAUGCUGAAAGAGCACUACGUACUGAAGGGAUAAGAGCACCAUCACGACAGCAGUGUCUGGGGAAGAGGGUGCUACCCUUUGGCCAGUAUCUCAACGCACCAUCUCACUGGCUUGUGUCAAAUGAUCUGGGCUACAUGAAGUAUUUGAUCGACAAGCACAGAGAAGAACUCUCUUAAAUGGAAAGGGGCAAGCACAAAAUCAGUGGAUAAAAGACCACCUGACAGAGUAUGCAGAGAGCUUUCCAGAAGUUUCAAUCGCCCUGGAAGCCAACAUCCACCGAUGUGUUUACGGACAGAAAGGGUUUGAGAGCCAUAGCUUCCAGGAGAUGUGGGAGCUCUACAGCCAGUAUUCUGCACAGAAGGACAGGCCUGGUGAUUUUGGUACGAGUCAGAGGGAAACAAUACAGAAGGCAUACAGCUCUGUUAGCCGGUGGCUAAAUACACCUAUAACACACAUCACAAGUGUGCAGAUGAAAAGAUUUAGAUAAUACAUUUAUGACAAGAAGACACAAGUCGAGCUGGAGGGCUGGGUGUGACUGUGGGAAAAUCCCAAUGGCAUUCCACCAGCUGAUCUUUCCUGGGUGAAGGAUGACACAGAGCGUGGACUCUUUGGCCCCAUUCAGGUGUAUCGUGACAAUGCUGGGGUAUUGAAGAGGCGGCGAGUACUAAAAUCAGACCGCGUGUGGUUUUACCCUCCAGAACCUCCAGGCUACAUCAGUGGUACUGUGCCAACUCCACAUCUCUUCUUUCGCGGUCACAUCUUUGUGUGGCGGCCUGUUGGAGUUUGGAAAUACUCACUGAAGUGUCCUCGAGGAGAAGAAUGUGUGGGUCAAGGUAUAAACGUGUACCUCUACAAAUCAGGCUUCCAUACCAAGGUAUUACAUGUUGUUAAUUAGAUAUUUAUUAUUACAGUUUGGAAUAAUUAAAUACAAUUGAAUGAAUUGUUAUUACGUAAAUACACCAACAUAUCAAAGUAAACAAUGUUGCCAGAUUUUUUUUAUUGCAGGUUCGUCAUGUUUGUGACGUUUCCGGCUGGUACUGUAUAUUAAAAGAGGUCCUGUGCUACGGACCAUGUACAAAAGCAGCCAGGGGUGGUGGUAGUUGAGAUGGUGGUCUAGUGGGUUAAACCACUGAACUGGUUAAUCAAAGGUUGCUGGUUCGAUCCCAGCAGCCACCACCAGUGUGUCCUUGAGCAAGACACUUUACUCCAUGUUGCUCCAGGGGGAUUGUCCCUGUAAUAAGUGCACUGUAAGUUGCUUUGGAUAAAAGCGUCUGCCAAAUGACUAAAUGUAAAUGUAAAUGGUAGUUGAAAGGUGGGCAGGUGGUUGGCGUGGGAUUCUGCCAUUCUUUGUCAACUCAGUGAGGCUCACCAAGGCAUGUUUCCUGUUAUUCUGACAGACAUGUGAGUACACUGGAGAGUGGCGUAAACGCAACUAACGUGCCUGGAAUUAGUUGCCAUAUUAAAAAUCACACUUUACAGGCGUGGUGUGGACAAAAAUGUGGUGCGGCUUUUGAGGGACCGGACUGAAGGGAACACCAUGGUUAAAGUGUGGCGUCAAAUUCAGGAGAAUCAUGUUGAGGAGUAUCUCCACAGGAAAGACCUUUACACUACACUCCUCAUGACUCUCCUGAAGCCUGGGUGAAUUGUGUCGGCCUUAGGACACACGUUUGAGGCUCCACCUCCUCAAAGAGAGCUUCCCUCUGCUCGCCUGCUUCGCCAUGCUUUCCUUCUGGCGGAGGCCAACAACGUACAGGACUACAGGAACCAGAUUCUCUCCACUUUUGGCAAUGUGCUAAAGAUGGACUCCACUAAAAAGCUUGCAGGUGGUGAAGAAGCUGUCUGGGGAGGGUAAAGGCACGGCGGAGUGGAUUACCAGCAUAGGCAAUGAGCAUUCGCAGAUUGUCUCAUUUGUUCUUACCUGUGAAGAGUCCACUCAGUGUCUGAAGCCCAUGUGUCAGGGAGUAAUGGACCGCUUCCACCAGGCCAAUCAACCUGUGCCCAACAUCUUGUACAUUGACCGCGGGUGUUGUCGGGCACAAGACCCAAGCACUGUGGAGAGCUUAUUCCAGACGCGGGUGGAGAAUGGUAUGGUGGUGCGUUUGGACAUCUUCCACUGGAUACAUCGCUUUGAUGCCAGUCGCCAUUCGCACAGACAGCCACUCAAAGUACGCUGUGUUCAAGUCUGCCCUAGCAGGAGCGGUGCUGGCCUACAACCGCGCAGACUUGGAGCUGCUCAUCAAAGCUUUUAGAGCGAAGGACCCAACCGUUUUUGACACCGUGGCUGAUGAAGACAUGGUGCGACUCAUGGUGAUCCUCCAGAGAUGAGCAUGUACAGAGUGACUCAUACUACCAACAUCAAUGGGAUGGACGUUCCUUAUUUCAAAUGUCUCCGUGGGAACAACAGCCUGUAAGGAUUCCACAAAACUCUGCCUCACAUGAGACCAGGUCCCCACUGUGCUGCACGUCCAUAUCAAGUUUACCUGAUUAGUGGAAUAGCUCGGUGGAACUCAGACUGCAGCUCUGAUGCUGUGUUUGGUGGCAAAGGCAGAAAACUCAGAUCCUACUCUGCGCCUCUGAUUGAGCGCCUCAACACUCGCUGCCAGCAGCAAACCGUGGAGAAGAAUUUCCGUGCCCCUGCUGCUGUGACUUGUGGUUCAGCCUGACGAGCCUGACCCCAAUGAGGAGGACGAGGCCUACCAGAGCGACCCUGAGGCAGACCAGGACAGGGUGACUACUGACCCGGCCCACAUAAACCUUACCACGGAGGAGACCACCACUGCUUACCCUCCGGCCUUUGUGACUCAUGUUCUAUUCACCUGAAUGCAUCACUAGCAUUUUUACAAUCUUUUUAGUCUGAGUGAAAACUGACUUUUUACAAAGCCAAUUGAUGCAAAAAAUGUAUCUUAACAAUGGAUUAUUCUACUUUUCAACAGGAGGAUACCUGUAGCCCCAACCCGCUGCCUGGAUUCCAGCAGCUGGAUAAUUUCUGUUCUCUGCUUGUGGAGAUUGGCAAGACUGAGAAUAGGCUGAGCCUGGUGACAGAGCAAAGGAACAGGCUCGUUGCCGCAUGGCACGCUGUAAUGGAACAUGACAAGCAACCACAGAAGUUUCAUCAGCUGUACAGAACACACUGGGGUAACACGUUGUAUUGCCACACAAAGAGGGACGAUCUUGCUGAUGCUGCUGUGAUUCAGCGGGUCAAGAUGGCCAAACGCUACGCACCGGCUCAUGAUCGCUGGUGCCGUGCAGCUACGUAAUUAUUUGCACAUGCUCCUCCCGAACUUUGUUAAUAAAACAUCAUUUCCGGCCACGUCAACCAGCACCACACCCUUGACAGUGUCUUUUUGCCCCACCGACACACCACAGAGUAUUGACACCCCCUCAGCCUGGUCCAGAGCUACAGUGUACAAAAGAAAAAGCACAGACAGUCCUACUCAAGUUGGAGUCAAACUCUCACUUGCCUGUUUGUACGCUUUGCCAACAACCCACUCAGGGACACAAAAAAAUUAAAACAAAGAAUUUUUGUCCUGUGAAAAUGAUGUCGACCUCCAAACGAUUGGACAACAGAGUGUUCACCAGCUAUGAACACUUUACCACAGUUGUGGACUCACAAAAGUGAAGUUUGUUUUGCUGUUGUGAGAUAGAAACACCGUUUUUAUUGUUAUAUAUAUAUAUAUAUAUAUAUAAUGCCGACUAUUGUUCAUUUUAUAAAGUUCAUAUGUGUAUCUUCUGUUAAAUCAACAAAAAUAUAGGAUAUUGUAUAUAUUGCCCUUAAUAUAUAUUUUCUAUGUCACUUACCUAUUUUAUACCUGAUAUAAAUGUGAUGCUUGUCUUGAAUAUGGCAUUUUAUUUAAUUCCAGUUAUAUUUUAUUAAACGUACCUAA